RNAcentral lists this long non-coding RNA (208 nucleotides) under Chinchilla lanigera (long-tailed chinchilla). Its description in RNAcentral is "lncRNA (ENSCLAG00000023825.1)". The record is from RNAcentral. Lineage: Eukaryota; Metazoa; Chordata; Mammalia; Rodentia; Chinchillidae.
AUGGAAGCAUCUGAAAUGCCUAAAUGUUGCUCUCUCUGGUGCAGAAGAUCUAUGAGAUUCAGGAGCAGCUGCUCCAAGAUAUUAUCACAUGAAGUCUGUGGAUCUGGCUGUUGUGGAUGCCAUGGUGCCCUGCCCAGACCAAACCUUCAGGGCCAAAACACUCACUCUGCCACCUUCUCUGUAAGUGUUGGCAGUUGAUGGCUGUCAG